GACGAACGCUGGCGGCGUGCUUAACACAUGCAAGUCGAACGGAAAGGCCCUGCUUUUGUGGGGUGCUCGAGUGGCGCACGGGUGAGUAACACGUGAGUAACCUGCCCUUGACUUUGGGGUAACUUCAGGAAACUGGGGCUCAUACAGGAUAGGAGCUCCUGCUGCAUGGUGGUGGUUGGAAAGUUUCGGCGGUUGGGGAUGGACUCGCGGCUUAUGAGCUUGUUGGUGGGGUAGGGGCUUACCAAGGCUUUGACGGGUAGCCGGCCUGAGAGGGUGACCGGCCACAUGGCGACUGAGAUAGGGCCCAGACGCCUACGGGAGGCAGCAGGGGGGAAUAUGGCACAAUGGGCGGAAGCCUGAGGCAGAAACGCCGCGUGCGGGAUGACGGCCUUCGGGUUGUAAACCGCUUUCGCCUGUGACGAAGCGUGAGUGACGGUAAUGGGUAAAGAAGCAACGGCUAACUACGUG
Molecule: ribosomal RNA, 468 nt
Filed under: uncultured bacterium
Lineage: Bacteria
Description: partial 16S ribosomal RNA
Rfam family: Bacterial small subunit ribosomal RNA
Source: RNAcentral